ACUCAAAGGAAUUGACGGGGGCCCGCACAAGCGGCGGAGCAUGUGGCUUAAUUCGAUGCAACGCGAAGAACCUUACCUAGGCUUGACAUGCAAGGAAAUCUGUUAGAGAUAGCAGGUCCGCAAGGGUCUUGCACAGGUGGUGCAUGGCUGUCGUCAGCUCGUGUCGUGAGAUGUUGGGUUAAGUCCCGCAACGAGCGCAACCCUCGUCCUAUGUUGCCAGCGAGUAAUGUCGGGGACUCAUAGGAGACCGCCGGGGUCAACUCGGAGGAAGGUGGGGAUGACGUCAAGUCAUCAUGCCCCUUAUGUCUAGGGCUGCACACAUGCUACAAUGGCCGGUACAAAGGGCUGCGAUACCGCAAGGUGGAGCGAAUCCCAUAAAGCCGGUCUCAGUUCGGAUUGGGGUCUGCAACUCGACCCCAUGAAGUCGGAGUCGCUAGUAAUCGCAGAUCAGCAACGCUGCGGUGAAUACGUUCCCGGGCCUUGUACACACCGCCCGU
Molecule: ribosomal RNA, 497 nt
Filed under: uncultured bacterium
Lineage: Bacteria
Description: partial 16S ribosomal RNA
Rfam family: Bacterial small subunit ribosomal RNA
Source: RNAcentral